UGGGGAAUUUUGGACAAUGGGCGCAAGCCUGAUCCAGCAAUGCCGCGUGCAGGAUGAAGGCCUUCGGGUUGUAAACUGCUUUUGUACGGAGCGAAAAGGUCUGCCCUAAUACGGUGGGCUCAUGACGGUACCUGAAGAAUAAGCACCGGCUAACUACGUGCCAGCAGCCGCGGUAAUACGUAGGGUGCAAGCGUUAAUCGGAAUUACUGGGCGUAAAGCGUGCGCAGGCGGUUAUGCAAGACAGAGGUGAAAUCCCCGGGCUCGACCUGGGAACUGCCUUUAUGAAUGCAUAGCUAGAGAACGGUAGAGGGGGAUGGAAUUCCACGUAUAGCAGUGAAAUGCGUAGUUAUGCGGAGCAACACCGAUGGCGAAAGCAAUCCCCUGGACCUGAACUGACGCUCAUGCACGAAAGCAAGGAGAGCAAACA
This 427-nucleotide ribosomal RNA is filed under the name uncultured bacterium. Its description in RNAcentral is "bacterial SSU rRNA". It matches the Rfam family "Bacterial small subunit ribosomal RNA", at positions 355 to 774 of the family's 1533-position model. The record is from RNAcentral.